This 340-nucleotide small RNA is filed under the name Histoplasma capsulatum var. duboisii H88. Its description in RNAcentral is "Histoplasma capsulatum H88 hypothetical RNA". Lineage: Eukaryota; Fungi; Ascomycota; Eurotiomycetes; Onygenales; Ajellomycetaceae. The record is from RNAcentral.
UACACAUUUUCGGCAUUCCACAAUUGUGGAAUGGGAGAAAAAUUGUCGCCGGCGAAGGCUCAGUGAAACCAGAAACCAGAGCAGGGUUGAAGUAGCAAGAUGUAACGCCUACGGUCUGCCUUGCCAUCCGAUUGAGGAUGGCACGGAUGUUGGUGUCAGCGAGAGGAAAUGUAGAUAUCCAGCGGGGUAAGUCUGCUCCUCCGCGGACCAUCUGCCACAACGGAGACUGGCUGUCUGGCGGGUGAAAUGCGGUGAAUGGGACUCAGGGGAAAGCAGAUUUGCUAUCCAUCCAUAUUCAUGUCUGGAGAUGAUGAUUCAAUUUCAUCAUUCUGAAGAGGAG